This 278-nucleotide ribosomal RNA is filed under the name uncultured Oscillospiraceae bacterium. Its description in RNAcentral is "partial 16S ribosomal RNA". It matches the Rfam family "Bacterial small subunit ribosomal RNA", at positions 511 to 788 of the family's 1533-position model. The record is from RNAcentral. Lineage: Bacteria; Bacillati; Bacillota; Clostridia; Eubacteriales; Oscillospiraceae.
GCAGCCGCGGUAAUACGUAGGUGGCAAGCGUUGUCCGGAUUUACUGGGUGUAAAGGGCGUGUAGGCGGGUGAGUAAGUCAGAUGUGAAAUACCGGGGCUCAACCCCGGGGCUGCAUUUGAAACUACUUAUCUUGAGUAUCGGAGAGGAAAGCGGAAUUCCCAGUGUAGCGGUGAAAUGCGUAGAUAUUGGGAGGAACACCAGUGGCGAAGGCGGCUUUCUGGACGACAACUGACGCUGAGGCGCGAAAGCGUGGGUAGCAAACAGGAUUAGAUACCCC